RNAcentral lists this ribosomal RNA (493 nucleotides) under uncultured bacterium. RNAcentral's name for it is "partial 16S ribosomal RNA". It matches the Rfam family "Bacterial small subunit ribosomal RNA", at positions 30 to 523 of the family's 1533-position model. The record is from RNAcentral.
AUUGAACGCUGGCGGCAUGCCUUACACAUGCAAGUCGAACGGUAACAGGUUAAGCUGACGAGUGGCGAACGGGUGAGUAAUACAUCGGAACGUGCCCAGUAGUGGGGGAUAGCCCGGCGAAAGCCGGAUUAAUACCGCAUACGACCUAAGGGUGAAAGGGGGGGAUCGCAAGACCUCUCGCUAUUGGAGCGGCCGAUGUCAGAUUAGGUAGUUGGUGGGGUAAAGGCCCACCAAGCCGACGAUCUGUAGCUGGUCUGAGAGGACGACCAGCCACACUGGGACUGAGACACGGCCCAGACUCCUACGGGAGGCAGCAGUGGGGAAUUUUGGACAAUGGGCGCAAGCCUGAUCCAGCCAUGCCGCGUGCGGGAAGAAGGCCUUCGGGUUGUAAACCGCUUUUGUCAGGGAAGAAAUCCUUUGGGUUAAUACCUCGGGGGGAUGACGGUACCUGAAGAAUAAGCACCGGCUAACUACGUGCCAGCAGCCGCCGUAA